This 200-nucleotide long non-coding RNA is filed under the name Brassica napus (rape). RNAcentral's name for it is "long non-coding RNA (BNAP_LNC006542)". The record is from RNAcentral. Lineage: Eukaryota; Viridiplantae; Streptophyta; Magnoliopsida; Brassicales; Brassicaceae.
GGGUGUGGGAGUUUGCAAAUGCGGAUGGUUGCGGUUUCAAGUGUUAUUUAGCGUUUUGUAUGACUGACACAACGUUUAAAAAUUGUUGCGUUUACGGGAUAUUUGUAACUGGUUGAUUAUAAGAUAUUGCGGCAGUUUAAUAAUAAAUUACCAACAUUAAUAUAUUAUAUCAUUAUAAAAAUAUAAAACAUACUAUUAUA